RNAcentral lists this small RNA (743 nucleotides) under Pongo abelii (Sumatran orangutan). RNAcentral's name for it is "retained intron". Lineage: Eukaryota; Metazoa; Chordata; Mammalia; Primates; Hominidae. The record is from RNAcentral.
CCCAUCCCGACCUCAGGUUGCUCUUCUGAGUGAGUAUGGUCUACACUGGCCAGGGAGGGGGUUUCGGAGGAGAGGCUGCUCUCUCAUCAGUUCCCUCCCCUGUUCCUGGCCACACGGAUCCCAAACCCCAUGCCCUGAGCUGGCCUAGGCCGGGUAGGCCAGACCAAUCAAAGCCACCUCCAACCUCCGCUUCCACCAGUGCCCCUGGUGUCCAAGAUCUGCCCUAGUGACACCUACAAAGUGUGGAAGAGCGGCCAGAACCUGAGGGUAGACACCACACUCCUGGGCUUUGACCACAUGACCUGGCAGCGAGGGAACCGCAGCUUUGUCUUCAGGGGCCAAGACACAAGCGCUGUGGUCAUGGAGAUUGACCACGACCGCCGGGUGGUGUACACAGAGACUCUGGCACUGGCUGGGCAGGACCGGGAGCUGCUGCUGGCUGCUGCUCAGCCCACCGAGGAACAGGUGCUGAGCCGGCUUACCGCGCCCGUCGUCACCACGCAGCUUGACACCAAGAAUAUCUCCUUUGAGAGGUGGGUGGGCAUGGCCUUGGUCACCCUUGAGCCAGCCUGGUGGGGUGCCUGCCUCACCUGGACCACUCUGCUUCCCCAGGAACAAGACUGGCAUCCUGGGCUGGCGCAGUGAAAAGACGGAGAUGGUGAAUGGAUAUGAAGCUAAGGUGUAUGGGGCAUCUAACGUGGAGCUCAUCACCCGGACACGGACAGAGCAUCUUUCAGAACAGC